RNAcentral lists this ribosomal RNA (708 nucleotides) under Lacticaseibacillus paracasei. Its description in RNAcentral is "bacterial SSU rRNA". It matches the Rfam family "Bacterial small subunit ribosomal RNA", at positions 733 to 1441 of the family's 1533-position model. Lineage: Bacteria; Bacillati; Bacillota; Bacilli; Lactobacillales; Lactobacillaceae. The record is from RNAcentral.
UCUGUAACUGACGCUGAGGCUCGAAAGCAUGGGUAGCGAACAGGAUUAGAUACCCUGGUAGUCCAUGCCGUAAACGAUGAAUGCUAGGUGUUGGAGGGUUUCCGCCCUUCAGUGCCGCAGCUAACGCAUUAAGCAUUCCGCCUGGGGAGUACGACCGCAAGGUUGAAACUCAAAGGAAUUGACGGGGGCCCGCACAAGCGGUGGAGCAUGUGGUUUAAUUCGAAGCAACGCGAAGAACCUUACCAGGUCUUGACAUCUUUUGAUCACCUGAGAGAUCAGGUUUCCCCUUCGGGGGCAAAAUGACAGGUGGUGCAUGGUUGUCGUCAGCUCGUGUCGUGAGAUGUUGGGUUAAGUCCCGCAACGAGCGCAACCCUUAUGACUAGUUGCCAGCAUUUAGUUGGGCACUCUAGUAAGACUGCCGGUGACAAACCGGAGGAAGGUGGGGAUGACGUCAAAUCAUCAUGCCCCUUAUGACCUGGGCUACACACGUGCUACAAUGGAUGGUACAACGAGUUGCGAGACCGCGAGGUCAAGCUAAUCUCUUAAAGCCAUUCUCAGUUCGGACUGUAGGCUGCAACUCGCCUACACGAAGUCGGAAUCGCUAGUAAUCGCGGAUCAGCACGCCGCGGUGAAUACGUUCCCGGGCCUUGUACACACCGCCCGUCACACCAUGAGAGUUUGUAACACCCGAAGCCGGUCGGGUAACCC